AAAAAUGCUACAAGAUAGCAUCCAAAAAGCUUUUCUAGACAUUGGCUUAGGCCAAGUAGUCAUGACUAAUGCCCCAAAAGCAAACGCAAAAAUAUAAAAAUAGAAUAAGAUCAAUAGGACCUAAUGAAACCGAAAAUCUUCUGCAAGGCAGAAGAAAUAUCAGCAGGGUAAACACACAACCCACAGUAUAGGAAACAGUAGUCACAAACUAGGCAUCUGACAAAGGACUAAUGUCCAGACUCCAAAGGAACUGAAAGAAAUCAGCAAGAAGAAAAGGUGCCAUUUACCACCUUCCUGACUCAUUGGCCAGAACCAAUGUUAGUGGAAUUAACAUAUGCCCCACCCCAAGUGACUUCUAAAGGGCUAACUCACCACAAGGGAGUCAGAGCAGAUCUUGGACUGAGACCUACAGGACACAGGUACUGCUUUUUCUCUUUUAUUUGUUUUAAAUUUUAUUUAUGUUUUUAGAUCAAAUAGUUCAGAUUGCAUUGGUUUUUAAUCUGCUGUUGUUGGAUUAACAUAUGCUUUAAGCGACUCUUAAAUAGGUGGCUCACCAGGAGAAAGGCAUAGCAGAACCUGGACUGAGACCUACGGGAGACAGAUGCUGCCAUGGGGUUGUAGCCCCACAACUUGCCAGUCUGUAUGCUUCCCUAGAGGUUUGAGCAGCGGAGUACUAAAGAAGCAAGCCACACCCCCACUCCACCUCCUGUGAGGGGGACAAGGAAACUUUUCCCAUUUCAACUGGUGGCUCGUCUGGGAUCUCGGAAGAUCAUCCUGGCCUGCUAAGACCCAUCCUGUGCUUAUAAAAACCCCAAGACCCUAGCAGUCAGACACACAGGAGGCUUGACGUCGAGAGGAGCACAUCAGCGGAGGAACACACAGGCGGCUGGACAUGAAGAGGAACAUGACAACAGGCACCAGCACACCAGCAGGGCACCGACUUAUAGAACGAUGUGGAUUUUGCCUGGGGCAGUCAGAGGAGAGCCAGGGCUGCUGAACGGCCCCAAUCCAGGGAGAAACCAAUCUCCUUUCUGGCUCCCCCAUCUGCUGAGAGCUACUUCCACUCAAUAAAACCUUGCACUCAUUCUCCACGUCCACGUGUGACCUGAUUCUUCUGGAAUGCCAAGGCAAGAACCCUAGGAUACAGAAAGCCCUCUGUCCUUGUGAUAAGGAAUGUGUCUAAUUGAGCUAGUUACCACAAGUUGCCUAUAAAUGGCAAAACUAAAAGACCACACGACCACUGGGGCUUCAGGAACUGUAAACAUCCACCCCUACACACUGCCAGUAUGAGAAAAAUUUGCUGAUAUGUUUUCUGCUGACCUGAUGACAAUGUUCCUAUGGUCACACUAACCACUGCUGGGUAAUUUUCAUCAUGACUCUCGUUUUCAUCUGCUGAAACCAGCCUCCCCAAGAAAGACAACUAUUUUCAAACUGAGGAAAUAAAGUGUUACUAAACCACAGUGUUCUCUCAUGGCUGUUCCUGGAGUUCUUCAAAACACUUGAUAUUAUAAAAUAGAAUUAUUACAGAUCACUGUAUGUUAUGGAUUUAGUCAAAAUGAUAAUUUAAAAUAUGG
Molecule: long non-coding RNA, 1574 nt
Filed under: Homo sapiens (human)
Lineage: Eukaryota; Metazoa; Chordata; Mammalia; Primates; Hominidae
Description: PREDICTED lncRNA (TCONS_00133671)
Source: RNAcentral